GAUGAACGCUAGCGGCAGGCCUAACACAUGCAAGUCGAGGGGUAGAAGUUGCUUGCAACUUUGAGACCGGCGCGGGUGCGUAACGCGUAUGCAAUCUGCCUUGUACUGAGGGAUAGCCCAGAGAAAUUUGGAUUAAUACCUCAUAGCAUUAUGAUGUGGCAUCACAUUAUAAUUAAAGUUCCAACGGUACAAGAUGAGCAUGCGUCCCAUUAGUUAGUUGGUAAGGUAACGGCUUACCAAGACGAUGAUGGGUAGGGGUCCUGAGAGGGAGAUCCCCCACACUGGUACUGAGACACGGACCAGACUCCUACGGGAGGCAGCAGUGAGGAAUAUUGGUCAAUGGGCGCAAGCCUGAACCAGCCAUGCCGCGUGCAGGAUGACGCAUCUAUGGUGUGUAAACUGCUUUUGUACAGGAAGAAACACUCCCUCGUGAGGGAGCUUGACGGUACUGUAAGAAUAAGGAUCGGCUAACUCCGUGCCAGCCGCCGCAGUAA
RNAcentral lists this ribosomal RNA (494 nucleotides) under uncultured bacterium. RNAcentral's name for it is "partial 16S ribosomal RNA". It matches the Rfam family "Bacterial small subunit ribosomal RNA", at positions 28 to 523 of the family's 1533-position model. The record is from RNAcentral.